RNAcentral lists this ribosomal RNA (457 nucleotides) under uncultured bacterium. Its description in RNAcentral is "bacterial SSU rRNA". It matches the Rfam family "Bacterial small subunit ribosomal RNA", at positions 28 to 368 of the family's 1533-position model. The record is from RNAcentral.
GAUGAACGCUGGCGGCGUGCUUAACACAUGCAAGUCGAGCGGGCAAUUUAUCUAGCACUGAUUACUUCAAAUGGAAAUCAUAAGUGUAAUCAUGAAUUUCUACCUUUAAUAAAGAAAAAGAAAUUCAUGUACGCAAAUAGUGAUAACACAUUUUAGUGGAGUGAUGAGUGCUGGAUAAAUUGCUAGCGGCGGACGGGUGCGUAACACGUGGGUAACCUGCCCCUAUCACUGGGAUAACACACUGAAAAGUGUGCUAAUACCAGAUAAUAUAAGCUUUUGGCAUCAUUAGCUUAUCAAAGAAUUUCGGAUAGGGAUGGGCCCGCGUCUGAUUAGCUAGUUGGUGAGGUAACGGCUCACCAAGGCAACGAUCAGUAGCCGACCUGAGAGGGUGAUCGGCCACACUGGAACUGAGACACGGUCCAGACUCCUACGGGAGGCAGCAGUGGGGAAUAUUGCA